This 234-nucleotide ribosomal RNA is filed under the name uncultured bacterium. Its description in RNAcentral is "partial 16S ribosomal RNA". It matches the Rfam family "Bacterial small subunit ribosomal RNA", at positions 99 to 334 of the family's 1533-position model. The record is from RNAcentral.
CGAACGGGUGAGUAAUACAUCGGAACGUACCUCGUAGUGGGGGAUAACCCGGCGAAAGCCGGACUAAUACCGCAUAUGCUCUACGGAGGAAAGUGGGGGACCUGCAAGGGCCUCACGCUAUGGGAGCGGCCGAUGUCCGAUUAGCUUGUUGGCGGGGUAAAGGCCCACCAAGGCGACGAUCGGUAGCUGGUCUGAGAGGAUGAUCAGCCACACUGGGACUGAGACACGGCCCAG